GGCUCCGUAGUUCAAUUGGAUAGAACGGCAGAUUCCGGUUCUGUUGGUUGGGGGUUCGAGUCCCUUCGGAGCUA
Molecule: transfer RNA, 74 nt
Filed under: Bacteroidales bacterium
Lineage: Bacteria; Pseudomonadati; Bacteroidota; Bacteroidia; Bacteroidales
Description: tRNA-Arg
Rfam family: tRNA
About the family: Transfer RNA (tRNA) molecules are approximately 80 nucleotides in length.
Source: RNAcentral